RNAcentral lists this long non-coding RNA (20443 nucleotides) under Eucalyptus grandis. RNAcentral's name for it is "long non-coding RNA (EGRA_LNC003647)". The record is from RNAcentral. Lineage: Eukaryota; Viridiplantae; Streptophyta; Magnoliopsida; Myrtales; Myrtaceae.
CACCAUGCAUAUAGGAGAGGAUAUGGAGAAUCUAGGAAGGGAACUAGAGAUGAAGAUGACGAUGGACGAGGAAGGAGGGAUGACCCUAGUUAUAGGAGAAGCAGUGGACACAAGGAUAGCUCCAAUGGUGGAAGGGAAGAGCAAAAGUAUAGAAGUCGAGAGACAGAUGGCAAAAGUCAUCGGGACAGAAGCCAUCGAGGCGAGAGCAGGAGAUGAAGGGCCGGCCAGAGUACAAAGACAUAUCUGAUGAUGAACAGGUCAAUGACAAUUCUUCUACUUGAGAGAUCCCUUGUAGGGAUGGGAUGCCUAAUGCUGUCCCGUCGGCGUGCUGCAUGACUUUAAAUAGCUGAUGGUGACCAUAUCCCAAAAUUCUGGUUUUGAUUGGGUCAUUUUGCACUCAUCAGUCUCUCUCUUUGAUUAUGUCUCGUGGUAAAGGUUUCGGAAAAUGACCGUAGAUCACGGAUGCAUUUGUUUUGCGGAUAAUGAAAAAUUCGAAAAAUAUUUUCUUAAAAUUGAUGUCUUGUGUUACUACUUAUAAAAAUGAAUAAAUGAAAAUAUUUAGACCUUAAUUAUUAUCGAUAAUGAAAAAAAGAUUAUUAGUUAAUUAUUUCAAGCAAUAUGAAUGAUAACUUUUAGAAAAAUGCUUUUCAAAUCAUUUAUUUUUCUUGAAACUAAUGAAGCUCACGUGUAAAUAAAUCUGCCCAUCGUGAUCAGUGUUGGGGCAGUAGAACGUAAAUACAUCUUUUUUAACUCUAGUUCAAUUGGAAAACGUCCUUGAAGCAAAUACAAGACGGGCUAAAGAAGCAAGCGAGAAAGUUAUAUACCCUAGUGUCACGUGUCGAUCUUUUUCGAUCGAUCAAACACCGCGCGGCCUUAGGAUUGGUGAUCCCAAGUCAGCCUUAGAUACAAACACGCUCGAACACAAGAACCGAAUGGGCAAAGGGAGUGUAUAUUGCUUGUGAACGAACUGUUUACAAAGUGGAAGAGGGAUCCUUAUUUAUACAUGAGCGGGUCGCAUUUCAGCCGUGGAUCGUCCCUCCGAUCCAAUGGUUCAUUUUGAAUCCAUAUCAUCAUUACAAGCUAUACAACAGGCUACUUGAAGGCUACUCGAUGGUCUGCACACGGCAGGCCCUUGGGAAGUCCAUGGGUCGCACGGGAGCCCAAGGGUCGUGCGCGCCAGGCCUUGGGCAGACCAUGAGCGUGUGUUAAAAGCAAGAUCAGUGUUGCAGGUUCGUCUGACAUGUGACCGGCCGAACCGUCAUGGGCUGCUCGAAUAUCGUUUGUGGGUCGCUCAUGGGUUACGCAUGGGCCUUUCGCUCGUUUUGCUCAUGGGUCGAUCUCGAGCCACCCUUUGCGCGUGACACGGCCCGUCACGGACGAUCUUGGAUCAUGCUUUAUCCGUGGACCGUGUCAUUCUCCCCCACCUAAUCAGGCGACGCUUAGGCGACGCCCUCGUCGCGUCCGUGGCAUGGAAGGCUUCGAUAUGCUUCUUGAAUUGCCACAGAGCCUCGGAGGGUUCCCAGCUUGCUUCACUCUUAGGAAGGCCUCUCCACCGGACGAGGUAUUCUUCUUUGGUGCCCGAUACUUCUUCCGUACGAUCCGAUCAGCCAUGAUACACUCAACAUCCCGAUCAUAGGAGGUCUUUACCCCAAGGGGCGCUCGCUGUGAUGUGCCCCAAUCCGGAUCAUCCACGUCCACAUGAAACGGUUUCAACAUGCUCACGUGGAACACGGGGUGUAGCCUGAACUUGGGCGGUAAGUCCAGCUUGUACGCCGCAUUUCCAAUCCGUUGUAUCACUCGGAAGGGGCCUUCAUAGCGACGGAUCAGCCAUUUGUUCACAUUUCUGUACCAAAGGACACGGUGCAAUUUGGCUAGCACCAAGUCCCCGACCUGAAACUCCACAUGCCGUCGCUUUUUGUCGGCCCACUUCUUCGUGCGUUUCACGGCCCUAUCCAGACACGCCCGAGCCAAAUCCGCGUGUUCACCCCAUUCCUUAGUGAGCAUGCGAACGGGCUGCUUCCUCGAUACCCUGAGGCGAGUGCGCUCGAUGUGAGCGGCUGCUGUCUGGUCACGAUCUCGAACGAGCUUUGGUUCAUGGACUCGCUCCGUUGCAUAUUGUAGGAAAAUUGGGCCACGUUGAUCAACCGUGCCCAGUUUACUUGCGUGUUGCUCAUAUAGUGCCAAAGGUAGAGUUCCAGCAACCCAUUCACCCGCUCGGUCUAACCGUCGGUCUGUGGAUGCAUGCUGGUGGAAAGGUUGAGACUCGUUCCCGGCAAUUUAAAGAGCUCGGUCCAAAAUCGUCCGGUGAAUCGAGGGUCGCGAUCACUCACGAUCGUGCGUGGAACACCCCAAUAUUUGACGACGUGCUUGAGAAAUAGCUUGGCGGCUUCUUCGGUUGGGCAUUCCUUUAUUGUUGGCACGAACGUCGCAUAUUUGGAGAGGCGAUCUACCACGACCAUGAGGGCCCGACACCCUUCGGACUUAGGCAAAUUCACGAUGAAGUCCAUGGAGACACUCUCCCAUGGACGUUCCGGGAUAGGCAACGGUUCAAGGAAUCCCGCGAGGGACCGUUGCUCUAUCUUGUCUUGCUGGCAGACAAGACAUGUCCGCACAUACGUCUCCACAUCAUCCCUCAUAUGCGGCCAAUAGUAUUGAUCCUCAACGAGCGCCAUGGUGCGGUGGAUUCCCAGAUGUCCCGCCCAUUUGGAGUCGUGGCACUCUUUUAGGAUUUCCCUUCGAAGUUUCUCAUGGAGCGACACAUAGAGUCGCCGUCCUUUGGUGUAGAGGAGGUCAUCCUCAAGCCAAAAUCUCCUCGUCAAGCCCUCUCAGGCGUAUCGAAGGAGAGCUUGGGCCGUUUAAUCAUGCUUCAAUCCCUUCUUGAUAUGAUCAACCCACGGACAACCGGGCCUGCUCACCACAUUGGCCAAUUCGAACUUCCUGCUUAAGGCGUCGGCCACGGAAUUGGACUUUCCGGGCUUGUAUUCCAAUGCAUAAUCAAACUCGGCCAAGAAGUCUUGCCACCGAGCUUGUUUCGGGCUGAGCUUCUUUUGAGUUUGGAAGUAGCUUGUAGCCACAUUGUCAGUCCUCACAAUGAACCGGGAUCCCAAGAGAUAGUGCCUCCAUGUGCGAAGGCAAUGCACCACCGCGGUCAUUUCCUUCUCUUGGACCGUGUAUCGUCGUUCCGCAUCAUUCAGCUUUCGGGACUUGAAGGCCACCGGAUGGCCUUCCUGCAUUAAGACACCACCGAUGGCAAAAUUAGAAGUAUCGGUCUCUACCUCGUAUGGCUUGGUGAAGUCGGGCAGCAUAAGAACCGGCUCCUUGGUCAUGGCCCAUUUCAACCGCUCGAAGGCCUCUUGACACCGAUCCGUCCACUCCCACGGCCUUUCUUUCUUCAGCAUGUCCGUGAGUGGCACGGUGAGGUGCAAAUAUUCCCGAAUGAAGCGCCGAUAAUAGUUCGUGAAACCAAGGAAGGAUCUCAACUUAGUCACCUUGGAUGGUGGUUCCCAAUCAACAAUGGCACGGAUCUUGGCCGUGUCUAUCCGCACACGUCCACCCCCGACGAUGUGCCCAAGGAACGGGAUCUCCUUUUGUGCGAAGGCACAUUUCUCUCGUUUCACAUACAAGUCGUUUUCCCGAAGGGUCCAAAAAACUUAACUCAAAUGUUCAACAUGCUCAUCAAGCGUCCAGCUAUAUAUCACUAUAUCAUCAAGAUAAACUACAACGAACCGAUCAAGGAACGGAUGCAGUACCUUGUUCACGAGUGUGCAAAACGUAGCCGGCGCGUUAGUCAAGCCGAAUGGCAUGACGAGGAACUCGAAUGAUUCAUAACGGGUCACACAUGCUGUCUUCGACUCAUCCCCAUCGGCGAUCCGCACUUGAUAGUAUCCCGAUCGAAGGUCGAGCUUAGAGAACCAUCGGGGCUCUCCGAGCUGAUUGAACAAGUUCGCAAUAAGGGGAAUUGGGUACUUAUUCUUGACGGUCAGCUUGUUCAAUGCCCGGUAAUCGAUACACAUACAGAGGGAUCCAUCAUGCUUCUUUUGGAACAACACCGAGGCACCGAACGGGGCCUUAGAUGGCCGAACAUACCCAGCAUCGAGCAGCUCUUUGAGCUGUUUCCUCAACUCCUCCAACUCAGGUGGGGCCAUGCAAUAGGGAGCCAUGGCCAGUGGUCAAGCAUCGAGCACCAGCUCAAUCCGAUGGUCGACCUCUCUCCGAGGAGGUAGCUUCUUGGGCAGCUCGGGCGGCAUUACGUCUUGGAAGGCAUCAAGGACUUGGGAUACUUCUCCCGGUAUCGUGUUUUCUUUCGCGCCCUCCUCCUUUAAUGCCACUGAGAAGGUCACCUCGCCUUUCUUCAGCCCUUUGGAUAGCUGCAUGGCCGAUAGCAUUUUUCGAUUGCGUCCCGAUUCGCGGUAGAUCGGGACCAUGCAUUGACACCGCUUGUCCAGGAUACAUAUGCAAUCCGCGAAGGGCAUGACACCCGCAUUUAUCCGGUCGAGAAAUCCCAAUCCGAGUAUGAAAUCAUAGUCAUCGAGGGGAAUUACCUCGAUAUCUUCUUUGCUGGUCCAAUGACCUAGAUGAAACUCCACGCCCCUGGCCAUGCCGUUGGUCGAGACUUCUCUGGAAUUCACCGUCUUGAGCCAACCGGACUCAUUUGCCUCGACCGAAAGAUGCAGCUUCUCCGUAGCCUCUUUGGAUAUGAACAGAUCGGACACCCCGGUAUCCACGAGUGCGCUCAUCGUGGUACCUCCGAUCUUCACAUCUACAAACAUCAUUCCUUUUGGUUCUUUGGCCUUCUUAGCCUUAAUUGUUCCAAGGAACCACGCCUCCUCUCGCGGCUUGUCUUCUUUGCACAAGGCUGCCAACUUCCCCCUCUUCGGGCAAUCGCGAGCCAUAUGGGGACCAUCGCAAAAGAAGCACUUGUACGUGCGCACCUUGCGUUGAUAUCCUCCAUGGCUAGACUCGAGUUGGUUCCUAUGAGGGUUCGGAGGCGGUCUGUUAGCAUUCGGUCGAGGGAACCAGCCUCGAUCUCCCCCACCAGUGGCCUUUUCUCUCGGUCGAGAGUCGAGCUUGGCCGCAUUUGCCGGCCUAUAUUCCACAAGGGACUCGGCCACAGAAGUGGCUGUAGUGAGGUCCGUUGUAUUACACCGUUUGAGCUCCUGUUUGACCCAAGGUUUGAGUCUGCUCAUGAACUGGUGGAACGCCUCCGUCUCGGUCAUGGAUGGGAUUUGGAGCAACAGUUCUAAGAACCGCUUCACGUAGUCGCGAACUCCGCCCUUCUGCUCUAGGUGCUUGAGCUCCCCUCGGGCUUCCUCCUCCGCAUAGGCAGGAUAGUAGGUUCGCCGAAAUUCCUCAACGAACCGAGCCCAAGUCACGAUAGGAUCGCCAUUCCUACCAUCCGACCGACGUCUCCACCAUAGCAGCGCAUCAUCAGCUAAAUACAUGGCUGCGGUGUUCACCCGGAUCACGUCGUCGGUUAUUCCCAUGGUCUAGAAGUAUCGUUCCAUAUACCAUAGGAAGUUAUCCACGUCCUUUGCCACUCGAGAGCCCUUGAACUCCUUCGGCUUGGGUGCAUCGGCACGGGACUGCACGAUGAUCACCUUGUUCACGCGUGCUGCUUCAAACUCCGUGAGCUUGCCCUUCAUCUCCGCCAUUUCCGCCCGCAUGGCUGCCAUCGCGGCUUCCCAAGUCUCAUUCCGCUGCUGCAGCUCAUGCAUGAAGGAUCCUUGCACCUCGACACGGAGCUCUCCCAUGUUGGCUUGGAGCUCCUGCACUUCGGCCAAGAACUCCUCCCUUCCGGCUUCCGCUCCUUUGACGGCCUGGUGCAGGUCGUCCAUCAACGCUUGGACAUCCGUGACGAUUUCUUCUAAGGCCGUCAAACGGUUGUCCAGAUCCCCCUUCGAAUCCCUCGCACACGAGGCAGCACGGGCCUUAUUUGACCGAGUAGCCCUCUCAACUAGACGCCCACGAUCUUCACGCUCAUCGCCUUGAACGACCGGAGCAUCAGCACGAGGAUCAGCCAUUUCGUUUGGGAAUGAUGGCUCUGAUACCACUUCUCACGGAUCGAUCUUUUUCGGUCGAUCAAACACCGCGCGACCUUAGGAUUGCUGAUCCCAAGUCAGCCUUAGAUACACACACGCUCGAACACAAAAACCGAAUGGGCAAAGAGAGUGUAUAUUGCUUGUGAACGAACUGUUUACAAAGUGGGAGAGGGAUCCCUAUUUAUACAUGAGCGGGUCGCAUCUCAGCCGUGGAUCGUCCCUUCGAUCCAACGCUUCAUUUUGAAUCCGUAUCAUCAUUACAAGCUAUACAACAGGCUACUCAAAGGCUACUCGAUAGUCUGCACACGGCAGGCCCUUGGGAAGUCCAUGGGUCGCACGGGAGCCCAGGGGUCGCGCGCGCCAGGCCUUGGGCAGACCAUGAGCGUGUGUUAGAAGCAAGAUCAGUGUUGCAGGUUCGUCUGACACGCGACCAGCCGAAUCGUCAUGGGCUACUCGAACAUCGUUCGUGGGUCGCUCAUGGGCUGCACAUGGGCCUUUCGCUUGUUCUGCUCAUGGGUCGAUCUCGGGCCACCCCUUACGCGUGACACGGCCUGUCACGGACGAUCUUGGAUCAUGCUUUGUCCGUGGGCCGUGUCACUAGGCAACGAGCUUGCUCCUCUUCGUGCUUAUCUUCUGCAUGACAUUGAGAACCUUUUGAUAAAUACUUGGUGAUAAAUGUGCUAUUUCUCACGCUCAAGAAGAAAAGCCUAUGGGCUAAAGAACGAAAAGAAAAACUAUAUUUUCAGUUUUCUUCCACUCGGUUGACUAGGAUCAUCAUCUAUAGUGAAUUAUUAGUUUUGAAAUAAAUAAAAUGAAUAAUUAGUUUUAAUAAAAUUGUAUUUAGCCUUCGUUCAUUUCAUGAAAAAAAAUUUUCAAAAAAAAAAUUCUGAAUUUUCUAAUAUUGAUUUUACAGAAAAUGAAUUAAUUAGGGAAAAUAUUUUCUAUGAAGGUAAAAAAAUCUUCUAAGAUAGAGGAGAAUAUUUUUCACCUUUUAGAAAAGAGAAAUAUUUUCCUCACUCAAUCCUCUUGUCUCAUAUUUACGUUAACAUUUUCAUCUUUUUUCUUUUUUUUUGCUUUUUUUUCUCAUUUAAAAAAAAAUUAAACGUUUAAAUUCUUUUCUUCUUUUUCUAGUUCCAUCUCACGGCGGGGACCAGCCAUAGACAAAUCACAAGCCCUAGCUCACCGCUCGCUUGAUCAGUGAUGAGCUCGAGCCCUAGCUCGCCACUCGCCCGAUGGACGGCGAGCGAGGGCUCCAGGCUCGCCAAUCUGGAGAAAAUACACUGCUUGUUUGCUCACCCAGUCCUCCAGAGAAAAUACACAUUCUCUGCAACUCAUAAAAGGUUGGGCCCCCUUCACUUUGGAGGACUUAUGACUUCUCAAAGUCAUCGCUCAUCUUCUUUCUUUGCCGAAGAGAAAACGCACCGAGAAAGUAGAGCGAAAGCGCAUUGCACCUUCUCUGCAACUCAAAAAAGUUGGGCCACUUCGCUUUGGAGGACUUAUAUUGGCUUGACUUGUUAAAGCCGUUGCUCAUCUUCUUUCUUUGCCGAGACGAAAACAAGCAUCUCCGAGAAAGUAGAGCGAAAGCGCAUUGCUCCUUCUCCUGCCUCCUCCGUCGCUUCCCUGAUUCCUCUUGAGAGGACCCAAGAUCAGAUUCGGGAAGGAGGACUCCACGUCUCGCUGCCAUCACAUCCGGUGAAGAUCUCGAGCUCCUCAAGGGGGAUGGAGAGAAACAGGGACUCACCAGACGCAGUGGCGACCGCGUCCGUUUGUGUCGACCGCGGCGAUCCGUCGUCAGGGGCCGAGUUCGAGGUGUUCUUGAGUUUCAGAGGCCCCGACACCCGCCUCGGCUUCACCGACUGCCUCUAUCACUCCAUGGUUGGAGCUGGGAUUCGCGUCUUCAGAGACGACGAAGAGAUCCGAAAGGGCGAAAAGAUUGGAGGCGAGCUUCUGCGUGCCAUCGAAUCCUCUAAAAUAUUCGUGCCCAUCUUCUCUAGGAAUUACGCAUCCAGCGCGUGGUGUCUUCGGGAGCUCAAGCACAUGGUGGAGUGCUCGGCCAAAGCGAACGACAAAGUGAUCCUACCCAUUUUCUACGACGUGGAUCCUGACGAUGUGAAGCUCAAAACUCCAUUAUACCUUGACGCUUUGAAGCAGCAUGAGGAGAAGUUUGGCCGUGAUGAUGUUCGCGAAUGGGAGAAGGCUCUGACAGAGGUUGCAAAAAAAAAGGGAUGGGGCUUGAAGAACAGAGGGUAAGAGUGUGGAUCUGCUUUCUCUUUUCUAUUUUCCGGGCAAUUAAAAGCGCAAUUAGUUAUAUUCAUUGGAGAAGUGCAUUUCGGAUUGAGAUGCUGACGCGUCCUCGAUGAUGCUUUCCUCUGUGUGAAUGCCAUAUUACUGCCCCCAAAACAAAGAGUGCUAUUAUCCACUGAGAUCCUUUUAGAGUUGAUUUUUUCUGCAGUUCUCUGCGAAACUGAGAAUAAGGAACAGAAUUUUUCUCUCGUUUUUUCUCUUUUAAUUACUCCUACCAAGCACUGUAUAUUAGUUAAUCCUCACUUCUUUCUUUUUUCCUUGUAAUUAUUGCCUUCCUUUCCCGAGCCACUCAUCCAAGCACAGUAUAGUGUAGAUCUGAUUCUUUCGUAAGUGGGAAUUUCCUUUUACUUAAGAUAGUUAUAUUCUUUUCAGUAAAACAUCGCUCAUUCGAAAAUCCAGCUAGUUUCGUGUCUGUAAUAAUCCUUAACUAGAGAGUUUAUCUGUCAUCCGUCUCACGCUAAGAUCUUGUGUUCAAUAUGGCAGGCAUGGCGAAAUCAUCAACGCUAUUAGGGAUGAUGUUUUGACUAAGCUGAAGAAAAGAAUGAGAAAUUUGCCGGAUCAUUUAGUUGGGAUUCAUGAUCAUGUGGAAGCUAUCAUGGACUUGUUAAACAAAGGUUCUCCUGAUGUUUGUUACCUGGUCAUCCAUGGAAUGGGUGGAAUCGGUAAGACAACUCUUGCGAGUGCCGUGUUUAAUCGAAUUUCCAAUCAAUUUCAAGGCUGUAGCUUCCUCUCGAACGUGCGCGAAUCAGCGCAACAUGGUGGAAUUAUUGGCUUACAAACACAGUUGUUAUCAGAAAUUCUCCAGGCCAAUUCUCAAGUUAUCCAUUCCGUUGAUGUAGGGAUUAGCAUGAUUAGAGAAAGGUUUCGUGAUAAGAAAGUUCUCAUUGUAUUAGAUGACGUAGAUAAGUGGGACCAACUCUCUAAAUUAGCAGAAAAGAGCAAUUGGUUUGGUCCUGGAAGCAAAAUCGUCAUUACAACAAGGGACAUCAAUUUUUUGCCGAACAAAGAGGAGGAGAAAGAGAGUAGUUGCCUAGCACAUUCUGAAGAGUUUAAGAUCUAUGAAAUGACAGAAUUGGAUUAUCCGCAUGCUCUUAAGCUUUUUAGUCAACAUGCCUUCAGGAUGGAUUCCCCACCGCCUAACUAUCUCGAUAUCUCAUACGAAAUUACUAAUAAAGCAGGCGGACUUCCAUUAGCUCUCGAGGUCAUUGGUUCCUCACUUUGUGGCGAAAGCAAAGAGUUUUGGAAAGGCAUGUUGAAGAAAUUAGAUUUGGUGCCCAAGCGGGAAGUCAUUAAUAAAUUAAGGAUUAGCUACGAUAUGUUAGAGCCUCAUCAGAAAGAGAUCUUUCUUGACAUCGCAUGUUACUUUGUUGGUGAAGAAAGAAUCUAUCCGUACUAUAUGUGGAAAGCUUCCAACUAUAUUCCAAGAUGUGAAGUACUUGUCCUUAUUCGUAUGUCUCUAAUAAAAAUAGUAGAAAUCGAUAGAUUGUGGAUGCAUGAUCAAGUGAGAGAUCUUGGAAGAGAGAUUGUCCGAUGUGAAGACGUCAAUGUUCCAGGGAAUUGUAGCAGGUUGUGGUUACCAAAGAUUGCCUUGGACGUGAUUGAGAUGAAAGAGGUAUCACUAUAGUCACCUUGCUCUUUUCCUUAGCAAUAAACCACGUAUUUGCCAACGGUUGUGGAGUUAGUUCCUCGUAGGAAAUUUUUCUUUUUUUGAUCAAGAUAAAGAAAAAAGACGAGGUUUGAAUAAGAGUUCAUUGGUGGUAAUAUCAUUAUAUAUUGUAUCAAGAUGUAAAUAAGCUAUUAGCAAAAACUUAGAGGAAUUUGUUUGUAUACGAAAAAAUUAUUCAACACAUUAUAUGAAAAUAGAUCCAGAUUGCGACUACCUAGGCUAUUAGAGCUUUCUAAGGCUGAUUUUAUUCCUUUUAGCUAAGUUGAAAACCAUUAGCAGCACUACUCUUCAAUGAGACAUCGUCCACGAGCCCGGACUUGGGAUUUGUAAUAGAUUGAACAAUUAAUAGUAGUCCGCUUUUGCGUAUGGUCCGAUAGAGCUUUCCUACAAUAUAUGGAUUUGUAACUAAUGGUCCAUCUUUAACAUGUCAAAUUAGUGUAUUAUGUAAAUAAAUCUUUCAUGUACGUUGAUCCUUUAUUUGGAAUUUACAAAGAGACCUGAAAUGAGCAUGACUACUCUGUUCUCAUCUUGUAAUAAAACUCAUAUAAAACCUAAUAAAGGGAUGCUCUGGAGCGGGCUUCAAUAAGCUCUGGAGCAAGCGGAUUUUGAUUCACAGUGUUGCAAUCAAGUUAUAAAAUCAAGACACAGUUACAAAUUGGUCUAGUAUCUUUUUUAAUGUGCUCUUUCUUAUGCAUUUAGAUAUGUACGAAGAAAUAAUGUGUGUUUCACUAUUAAACAUAAUCAAGCUUCUCAUACUUGUAUAACACCAUGUUUGUCAUCUAGUUCAAAUAUGCUCUAAUGCUUUUCCUAUCACUAGGGGACAAACAAAGUCGUAGCACUUAGACUAACGGGACUCUCCAAAGUGCACAAUUUCACGAGUGAAGAAUUUUCAAAGUUGCCGAAUCUGAAAUUCUUGGAAUUAGAGGGGGGGAACAUGGUAGGGGACUUUAAAAAUCUUCUCUCCAAGUUAAUAUGGCUCUCUUGGAGUGAUUGCCCUUCGGAAUUAAACGCGACGAAUUUAUGUCUCAAGAAACUAGCCGUCCUCAAGCUUUCAGGAAGUAAAAUUACCGAAGAUUGGGCCGGAUGGGAGCCAUGCCUGGUACAACAUCACACCUUGCCAUUUAUGUCUCUUAUUUGUCUCGCUAACCAAAUGACCCAUUUGCCUUUCUUGACUUGGCUAAUCUUGGUUUUUUUUCUAGGUGAGCGAGAACUUGAAAGUUAUACAAAUUACCAGCUGCGAAAGCUUGAAAAGGACUCCUGACUUCUCAAAAUGCUCGAAUUUGAAGAGAUUGGUUGUUGCAGGUUGUACAACCUCGCUAGUGGUUGCUGGCUCUCUCUUCGAACUAGAGCACCUCAAGUACUUGGAAAUCACGUCUCGUGGUGAUCAGCUGAGAGAGAAUUGUGACCCUUUUGUAUUAAGCGGUCCAAAAUCCCUCUCAACGCUAAAGAUAGGUAGAAUGGCAGUUCAAGAACUUCAUCAAUCCGUUGAAGAGAUGAAGGGUUUGAAGUAUUUGUCUACGGUCGGUUGUCGUUUUCCUAGAACACUUCCAGAUUGCAUCGGGAAAUUGAAAUCACUGCUUGUAUUGAAAUUAGAAAACAUGGAAAUCACAGAAUUACCUUCUUCUAUUGGGAAUCUCAAAAGGUUGGAGAUUUUAUAUCUAAAUAGGACUGCGAUAAAAGAACUACCAAGGGCCAUAGGGAUGUUGGAGAAUCUUAAAGAGUUGAGUGCUCGGUUCUGUCAAAAUCUGGAGCGGGAUAUUCCAAGUGAAAUUGGGGGUCUAUCCUUUUUGAGGAUGUUAGACCUUGGAGGAAGCAAGAUUAGGAGAUUGCCCCUAACUAUGAAUCAACUUGAUCAUCUUCAACAACUUUGUUUAGAUUUUUGUUAUGAAUUGGAAGAGUUCCCCGAGCUCCCCAUGAGUUUGAAGGAGUUGAGUUUUGCAUCUCAUUUAUUGUGGAACGCCAUUGACCUCUCGUACCUAACUAGCUUAGUUAAUCUUUAUAUAGAUGACGGGGCUCAUUGGGGGUUAAAAUUCAAAUGUGAAGCUCCAAAGAUAAAGUGGAUUGAGGAGUUAUUUAAUUUGGAGAGUUUGAUGCUCGUCGUGAGAAAUGUCACAUUUUCUCCAAUUAAUUUGGCUACUCUUUCUCGGCUUCGUAAACUUGAGAUUACUUGUGUUGGCUAUCGUUCUGUGGUGGGGCUUCCGUCCAGUCUUGAGAGUUUGUGGGUAAUCCGUGCCAGUUCUGCAAGAAAAAGGCCUCUCAUGUCCAACAGGUCAUAUCCGGGCUAUUCUGUUGUGGAGAAUUCUUUUUUCGAGGUCGUCUUUUAUGGUGUGCUUGGACAACGGCUGGUGAGUGUCAUGGGAAGGGAGGUGAGUAAUAAUGAAUUGCUUGAGAGGCGACACGUAUCAAGAUCAACGAGGGUCCAACGGUUGUUAGUACGUGUUAGCAUCGGUACUUAUGGAGAUGCAAUUGCUGCGUACAUUGAGAUUCUCUCUGAUGACCGAUUAAAUAGUAAAAAUUUCCACUCUUUUAUUCCCGGAAAUAGUUUUGAAAGAGAAUCACAUUUGUUAAAAUUUUUGUUCCCGAACCCUCUCCUUCAAACGCCGCCCUUGAGAUGUGUCGCAGUCGUCUCCGGCCUCAAACGCUGCCGUCCGCUGCCGGUCGCCGGCGAGCCUCCCCCGGCCACCCGCAAGCCUCGCCUAGCUGCCGGCGAAACAGUCGCUGUGUUAUGGAUUCUCGGCUGAAGAUGUGGCCCGAUCUGCUGCUCCUCUCCGCAGGGCUUUCCGAAUGCAUGAGGCUGUGAUGCCUGGUUCAGCCCGGGGCCCUUCCUUCCUCCUCGACUUCACUCUCCGUCCUUCCCCCUUCUUCCUUCAUUUUCUCGCCAGACACCGUCCUCGUCGAUCCAUCCUCGAAGCCGGAGGUUUUUGUCGGGGGGAGGCCGGGCGAACAUGUCGGUGCUGCUCGUGACGUGUUUAGGGGACAUCGUGGUGGACUUGCACGCCGAUAGGUGCCCCUUGACCUGCAAGAACUUCCUCAAGCUCUGCAAGUACGUCCUGCCCUCCUCUGACCUUCGAUUGCUUCUUCUUCUGAUCUCCUUUGUCCGGAGCUUAUCUAUUAGCUUUGGUAAAUGUGUUCCAUCGAUUUUUGAGCGCAUUCUCUGUUCCGAGGUUGUUCCCGCGAUGGAUCUUCUUUGGCCGUUGUAAAGCGCGCUCAUUUUGCCUUUGAAUUUUUUGCUGAGGUUGAUAUUGGGGCACUAUAUUUUGUUCGGGAAGCAGAGCGUGCGUGUUUGCGGUUCUCCAUGUUUUGGUGACGAGUAGAAAGUUAGUCAUGGGAUGAACCCACUCCUGAGAAUAAUUACCAAUCACGCGCACCGUCUUUCUGUUGAAGAGUAGAGGCUUCUAAGGAUCUUUUCUGGCCAUUUUCAGAUACAUUGUGAGCACCUCAUUAACCCUUUCCCCCCUCCCUUUGCUAUCUUAUCGGUGCAGGAUCAAGUACUACAAUGGGUGUGUGUUUCACACUGUGCAGAAGGAUUUCACAGCACAGACAGGCGACCCCACUGGGACUGGAACAGGCGGCGAUUCUGUUUAUAAGUUAGUGACUUUGCAUUGUUGGCUUUUUGCUAUGAUUGUUCAGUUUUGUGGUCUUUCAUGCGCUUCUAUGAUUUAAACUAAAAGGACCUUAUGUUGAUUAAUGGAAUAGUGGAGGUACUUUCCUUUUGGGUUAGAAAAUAGCGCAGUGUGAUUAAUUCGAAUUACAUCUCCUAUUUUAUUUUCUUGUGCAAAGUAACAGGAGUCUAGUUCUUCACUUUUAUGGGGUGUGAAGUAAACUCAAAAUUAAGAACAAAAAAGAUGUUCUUCUUUCAGUGUAUUUUGGGAAUAUAUAUGUGUCGUCCCACGUGUAUCCUUCAGUUUAAUACAGUGAUAAAUACUUGAAACAAUGAAUUGUAUUCUUUGGAGCAAUAAAGUCUGUCAACGAAGAUCAGAAAGCAUUUCUUACAUUUUCUUUUCAUAGCAAUGGAUGUGAUUUUGAAUGAAUCACCUGAUAUAACUGCACAAAUUGUUCUGUUUCAGAUUUCUUUAUGGUGAUCAGGCUCGCUUUUUCAUGGAUGAGAUCCAUCUUGAUCUUAAACACUCCAAGACAGGAACGGUUGCCAUGGCAAGUGGAGGAGAAAAUCUCAAUGCUUCUCAGGUAACUUUAUUAUGCCGUGGAGUGUUAUUUUGGUAAUAAGAUGCACCGCAUACGAAGGAGGCAGGAAGUUGCACUUUUCAAUGCAGUUGCUUUAUCUACAGUUUUCAAUUUUAAGUCAUUUUCUCCACAUCUUGUCAGACUUAUAUGACCACUCACAAGCUCAAGAUAAUGACUAUUGUUAAUUUAAGUUGAAGUUUUGUUUCACUCUUCAUCCAUACACCUGAAAUGUUGCUUCUACUGACCCUGCGCUUCUACAGUUCUAUUUCACAUUGCGGGAUGAUUUGGAUUAUCUCGAUGGAAAGCACACGGUGAGAUUCUGAUAUGAUUUCUCUGGUCAUCCUCAGUCCUCACUCUUGAGUUCUAUGCUAUGUCUUUGAUGGGUUUUAGUCGCACAAUUGCUGUUAUAUAUUUUUAUCCUCUUUGCGAUAAAGGGAGAUGAGAUGGAUUUUUUUUUCCACAGAUGAUCUUACCGCUAAAAUUUAGUCUUUCACGUUCUUCAUGGAGCCUGAGUUAUGAUUUUGGUCUUCCCUCCUUGCUCUAUAAUGCAUCUCCAAACACAUUCACUAACUAAGAGGUAUAAAUAAGGAUGUACAAACUUCAAUAGGAAGCUCUAUAGAAAGAUCUUUUGAUUGGAAAUUGCAGCUUGUGAUUUUGACAUCUUUAGGACCCAGAACAAUCAGUAUAUUAGUUUUGUUGAAAGGACGAGAGUGAGGCCAGUUUUAGUAUGUGAAAGUGUGACCAAUUAAGUGAGAUAAGAAGUGAUAUGUGCAAAUUUGAUGUCAGUGGAAAAGAAGAGUGUUCUAUUUCUUUGGCUGUAGAAGUGAGAAACAGAAUUAGAAAUAAAGGACAGCUGGGACUUAGCAGUUGGCUGCAUUAAGGAUAUCAUAGGAGGCACAUUGAGGAGGCUCAGGGCCAUUUUGGAUAAUGUUGGGCUCCCAAAUUACUUUGAUAGAAAGCAGGUAAAUAGCUGCCUUAGACAAUAGGCUGUGAAAAGGAAGGUUUUGGCCUCAAGGGGCUUUAAAAUAAUUUUAUCAAACAUCAAAACUGUCAUUCAGAGGAUUUUGCGAGUCCAAAUCUGUUUUGCAGAGUUUCCCAUAUUCACCCUUAGUCGUUCGUGGUGCUGUCUUGUUGAUAUACCAGCGAGAAGGAUUGACCUGAUGUUAGACUAAAAUAAACAAUGGUAGACCAAUUGUCUGAGAAUGAAAAAGAAUGGUAGACCUAGUUGUACAUAGAUAUUGGAAAGAGAAGGCGGUUCAUCUGAAACGUGAUAAACUAAACUGCAAAUCAAAGAGUCCCUGUGGUACAAAGGUAGUCAUUUCCUUGACUCAUUGUGCUGUAACAAAUUUUCUUUGUGCUGGGUUGAUUGAAUUGCUUUUUUAUAUGUUCCUGUGAACUUUUAGGAGAAUAUUAAUUUCAUGCUCCUUUGAUUUCUUGCUAAUCAUUUUAUGCAAGUCUGUGAGGUUCUUUUGCAAAUUGCAAUGUUCCAAAUGGAAAAUUUGGGGUUAAUUUUUUUCCAGCUUUCCUCUCUGUGGACCGUGUUCUCCUCGAAUCUCUCAUUUGGACCUUUAAGACAGAUUACUAGUAAGUAAUCAGAAUUAAUUGAAGCAGCAGUUAGAUUGGGGUUUGCAACAACUAAAAUUUUGAUCUGGCUCCUUUAUCACCUGGCAGUGUGUUUUUUAUUACAUCUUCGUGUAGAAUUGUGUGACUUCAGUUAGUAAAUACCUAUUUGGAAUCUUGUCCAUCCUGGAGUCCAUGCCUAUUGGUUCAAUCAAUUCUAAUUGAGUACGUGUAGGGUAGUCUUGUCAAGUCAUUUCAUUAUUCGAAUGUACCACUACUUUUGUACAUUCUGGGCAUUGAUAUGUGGUUGUAAAUGCGGAAUGGUGUAAAUGGGUUUUAACAAAUUAUUCAUUAUUGUUAGGUGUUUGGUGAAGUUGCAGAAGGCCUUGAGACAUUAACUAGGAUUAAUGAAGCCUAUGUAGAUGAGAAGGGGAGACCCUAUAAGAACAUCAGGUUCAUUCUUAUUCCACUCUCUCGCUCUUUGAAUUACCUUAUGUCACUCUCUUGUUUAUUUCCAGUAUGGUUCCCUAUUGUUUUGAGCAGGAUCAGGCACACAUAUAUAUUGGAUGACCCUUUUGAUGACCCUCCCCAGCUAGCUGAGUUGAUUCCCGAUGCUUCUCCUGAAGGAAAGCCGAAAGAUGAGGUGUUGACUGCUUAAAGAUUUUAUUAUCAGUUAGACUCGGAAUAAAAUAUGAUCCCAAAUACUCUGUCAUUUCGAAGGCACGAUUACAUUAAUGUAUAAUUAUCACCAACUGCUUCAUAAAUUGGCAUCUCUUUAAUCGUAUUUAUAGAGAUUGAAGUUGGACAAGAAUUCACUGAAUAUGCUGCCAAAAUUUGCUGCUUAAUGAGUAGAUAUCUGAUAAAAUGCAAGGAGUGGUUUAUCUCUAUGACAGCUAGAGGUAAAUUAGUUGUGUUUUUCUAGUUCUAAGUUUCUUGAAAGAAAUGCUGCAUGAAAUUAGUGUGUGUGCUCUGCCAUUUCUUUUACCCUCUUAGAAGUUAAUUAUUGAGAAUGAUUCAAUUGUUUGGAGGUAUACAGAAAAAACUUUGCAAUGUUUAGAUCUUACUUUUAAAAGUUAUUCUCUCCAUUAUAAUUGUAUUUGUUUCCAAUAUAAGUGUGAGAUUUCAUGGGACCACCGCCAACUGUUCUUAAAGCUUAAGCCGUUAAAUGAAUACAUAGUUUAAUAUUCAAAUAUUCUAUCACUUCCCCUUACGCUUAAUACUCACACUUAGUCUAGUACUAAGCGUGCAUAUAUUUGAUCAGGGAAGCAAAUGGGGUAUGGUACCUUUAGCUUUGAUACCAUGGGAGAUUUCACGGGAUUAUCGCUAAUUGUUCUAAAAGCUUAAAUUGUUAGAUAAAGGCGUGGUUCAAUAUUCAAAUAUUCUUUCAAUUAGAUACUAAGAGGAUAUUGAAAUCCUUGUCUAAAAUAUUACUAAUAUAUGAAGCACCAAUUUCAAGUUUUGUUAUCAAAAUGAAGCACAAAUUUCAAGUUUUAUUAUCAAAAUGAAGCUACCUGAUGAAAGAUGCCAAAAUAAUAGAAAAAACAAAUAACUGAUGAAGUUAAUUUCUAAGUGCUUAUAAAUCCUCUCGUGAGAAUGGCUCUUCAUUUUGUGUGGAAAAGGAGCUUGGGAAAAUGAUUUGUUCCAUUUGGAGUAAUCAUUUUCCUCAAAUUUAAAAACAGUUGUUUUCCUUGACAUAAAAUCUUUUUUGUCGGUUAUCCACUUUUUGGGAACCAAACACAUGAAAAGUUAGGAAAAUCAUUUUCAGAAAAAUAAAAACAGCCUUUUCAAUUCAUUUAGUUUUCUGCCAAAAAUAGAACAUUAAUCAACAUUGCCUGCUUCCGCUUCAGUAGGCCUUUAAUAGUUAGUUAUCUUAUACUUGGCUCAACUUACUUGGUUGUCUUGUCUAGCAUCCUAUUUUGAACAUCUACAACUGUCUACAGAAUUUUGUACUUCAAAGAAUUUUAUUGUUGGGUGCGAAAAAAUCUGUGUCCGCAUUAAUUCUGUUCCCCAGGUAUAUAGAGUAGAUUGCUAUCUUGCUUAUAUGAGCUCUUCUGACCUUUUUCUUUUUUGGUCGAAGAGUUCUUCUGACCUUGAAAAGUGAUAAUUAAACUUGAUUUGGGGUAAAUUUUCUAGUCAUAAUUAAGAAUACCAUGAAAAAGCUAACUUGAACAGGAAUUUUGAAGAAAGAACUUGACCUGUGCAUGGUUGGGGCCAUAAUGCUAGAUUACUUAAACGAAUGAACAGAGCCAACAGGGAAAAAAGAAGAAGAAAACAUGUAAUUUUUAACUAUUAGAUUAGGCUCAGGAGCUUUUAGUUCGAGUGGCACUGAUUCAGUCCAUUAUUCAAGCUACUCAAACUCAAAACCCAUUCAUCUGAGCUCGAGUAAUAUGGCCGCAAGCUUGAGCAUGUCGUGAGUAACGUGACUCACGUACAACUUAUUUUGUGUAACUUUCUUUAUGUCGUCAUAAAAAUGUGAAACCUACAUGUUUUUUUUAGCCAUGGAGAUGCCUCUGCAACAGUUGACUGCUUUCAUAGGAUAGAAAGGUAUAUAUACGUUAUAUCUCCUCUACCAAGGAAGUAUUUAAUAUGUCAAAAUGGCUCAUUCUGGAAGAGCAAAUGAAGGGGAAAGAGGACAAUUAUGGAGAUCCCCUUAGAAAAGCAUGAACUUUAUCCUGAUCUUGGGAUGGGUGACUCGAUUAUAUUCUUAAUUCUGAUUGCUUUUGAUUGUAACUAGAAAGUGUUAGCAUCAUUUAUCCUCUAUGAUUUAAGUAGUCAUCCCUAAUGUGUCAAAUGAGUUCUUGUUGCCUGCGACUUAUCUGUUUUUUCUUGGUCUGCUAUUUCCUGGCAGAUGGACAAUGCCUUGAUUGAUGAUAGGAGGAUAAAGGUGGAUUUCAGCCAGAGUGUUGCAAAACUUUGGUCCCAGUUCAAACGAAAAGAUAGCCAAGCAGCUAAAGGUAAGGAUGCACUCAAACUUAGUGGAGUUCCUUACUGCUUUCAGGCUUUGAUUUUCUUGAAUGGCGAUGUUCGCGUCCAACUUUGCUGGGUGGUGGGAGGAAUUGAUGCAUUUUCUCUUUUAAGUGCCCUUGGUAGAGGAGGACUUGUACGAGUUCUCUGUGGGUAAGGUUGGUAGUUUACGAUAUGCAGCUUUAGGUGUUGUCAGCAGUGGCAAGGUCUUGAGACCGUUGUGUUUCACUGAGUUAAAAGUGUCUAGGUAGAAUUUGAGGAGAAAAUAGGAUGGUGUGCACGAAAACUUGCAAAUAGCUUUUUAGUGGUCGAAGUAUUCCAUGCUGAGCUGCUUCAAAAAUGCGUAAGAUUGGAUCUGUUAAAUUAGCAAAUGCAGGUUAUGUGGGCCUUAAAUUGAGCCUAGUUUUAUCAUGAUAGAGUCAAACAUGUUGUUUUGCAUGUUCUUUUGUUCUCUCCAACAAAAUAUGCGACUCGAGCUGUCAGAUUGGAAAUUUCCUUUUGUUUGCUUUAUGGAAGCUUUAACUUUUCUUUGCUACUCAUUCAAAUACAAUGUUUUCCUGCACGAGUUCUAGGAUUUGAUGGGGACUAUGCUUAACUCCUUCAAAUUUUAUUUUAUGUGAUAAUUAACAUUGGUUGGAUACUAUGGUUAAUGUGGAUAUAUGAUAAUCAACAUCGUUGUUGUAUUUAUUAUUUCUUAUAAUAACGAGCUCUUUGAUUAUUGGCCAUAGGAAAAGGUUGCUUUAAAUGUGGGGCUCCUGAUCACAUGGCCAGGGAAUGUCCUGGAAGCUCCACUAGACAACCACUUUCAAAGUACAUUCUGAAGGAGGACAACGCACAGAGGGGUGGGGAUGACUCUAGGUUUGUUCCUGACAGUGCCCCUCCUCCCUUUUCCCUCCUUCUCUCUCUCUCUCUCUCUCUCUCUGUCUGUGUGGAUAUGCAUGUGUGGCCGGCAUGCAUUUGUGAGACUUCCCAUGUGUGAUUCUGACAGUCUUAUUCCUCUUUAGGUAUGAAAUGGUCUUUGAUGAAGAUGCGCCAGAAAGUCCCAAGUCAUGGAAAGAAAAGGCGAGGACGAGAUGACCGGGAUGAUAGACAUAAGAUGAGCAGGCAAAGUGUAGAAGAAACAAAAUUCAGUGAUAGAGAGGGAAGGCACUCUGUGGAUAAGCAUAGGCAGAGUGAAAGAAGUAAGCAUAGAGAGGAUGAGAUGAGUCGAGACAGUAAAGCUAGUGAGGCUGGUAGGAGAAGGAUUGACAGGGAUUUUCCGGAAGAGGAAAGAGAUGGAGAGAAAUAUAAGGAGAGUCACAGAGACAGAGAUGGUAAGAGAGGUGAUUAUCGAGAUUAUAGAAAGGGAAGAGCAGAUGUUCAGACUCAUGGAGACAGGAGAGGUGAUGAAAACUAUAGGAGAAAGAGUGCUGCUUAUGAUGAUGGCCAUGAGGGUGGGGGAGCUGCUAGGAGAAAAGAUUCCAAUGAUGAUCACCAUGCAUAUAGGAGAGGAUAUGGAGAUUCUAGGAAGGGAACUAGAGAUGAAGAUGGCGAUGGACGAGGAAGGAGGGAUGACCCUAGUUAUAGGAGAAGCAGUGGACACAAUAAUAGCUCCAAUGGUGGAAGGGAAGAGCAGAAGUAUAGAAGUCGAGAGACAGAUGGCAAAAGUCAUCCGGAGAGAAGCCAUCGAGGUGAUAGCAGGAGAUGAAGGGCCGGCCAGAGUACAAAGACAUUUCUGAUGAUUAACAGG